RNAcentral lists this ribosomal RNA (1002 nucleotides) under uncultured bacterium. RNAcentral describes it as "bacterial SSU rRNA". It matches the Rfam family "Bacterial small subunit ribosomal RNA", at positions 356 to 1376 of the family's 1533-position model. The record is from RNAcentral. RNAcentral also lists the same sequence under 1 other name.
GGGGGAUAUUGCACAAUGGGGGAAACCCUGAUGCAGCAACGCCGCGUGAGGGAAGAAGGUCUUCGGAUUGUAAACCUAAGUAGUCAGGGACGAAAGAAAUGACGGUACCUGAAGAGUAAGCUCCGGCUAACUACGUGCCAGCAGCCGCGGUAAUACGUAGGGAGCGAGCGUUGUCCGGAUUUACUGGGUGUAAAGGGUGCGUAGGCGGGAUGGCAAGUCAGAUGUGAAAUGCCGGGGCUCAACCCCGGAGCUGCAUUUGAAACUGUCGUUCUUGAGUGAAGUAGAGGCAGGCGGAAUUCCCCGUGUAGCGGUGAAAUGCGUAGAGAUGGGGAGGAACACCAGUGGCGAAGGCGGCCUGCUGGGCUUUAACUGACGCUGAGGCACGAAAGCGUGGGUAGCAAACAGGAUUAGAUACCCUGGUAGUCCACGCUGUAAACGAUGAUUACUAGGUGUGGGGGGUCUGACCCCUUCCGUGCCGGAGUUAACACAAUAAGUAAUCCACCUGGGGAGUACGGCCGCAAGGUUGAAACUCAAAGGAAUUGACGGGGGCCCGCACAAGCAGUGGAGUAUGUGGUUUAAUUCGAAGCAACGCGAAGAACCUUACCAGGUCUUGACAUCCAACUAACGAAGUAGAGAUACAUUAGGUGCCCUUCGGGGAAAGUUGAGACAGGUGGUGCAUGGUUGUCGUCAGCUCGUGUCGUGAGAUGUUGGGUUAAGUCCCGCAACGAGCGCAACCCUUGCUAUUAGUUGCUACGCAAGAGCACUCUAAUAGGACUGCCGUUGACAAAACGGAGGAAGGUGGGGACGACGUCAAAUCAUCAUGCCCCUUAUGACCUGGGCUACACACGUACUACAAUGGAUGUUAACAGAGGGAAGCAAGACAGCGAUGUGGAGCAAACCCCUAAAAACAUUCUCAGUUCAGAUUGCAGGCUGCAACCCGCCUGCAUGAAGAUGGAAUUGCUAGUAAUCGCGGAUCAGCAUGCCGCGGUGAAUACGUUCCCG